GUCUCCGGCCAUACCCCCCUGAACGCGCCCGAUCUCGUCUGAUCUCAGAAGCUAAGCAGGGUCGGGCCUGGUUAGUACUUGGAUGGGAGAAGUUAAAGAGUUAACAGUUCUUUAUAAACCAGAAGGCCAUUAACU
Ribosomal RNA from Panthera pardus (leopard), 135 nucleotides. The record is from Ensembl. NCBI's taxonomy places the organism in Eukaryota, Metazoa, Chordata, Mammalia, Carnivora, Felidae.